Long non-coding RNA from Carassius gibelio (silver crucian carp), 4528 nucleotides. RefSeq lists it as uncharacterized. NCBI's taxonomy places the organism in Eukaryota, Metazoa, Chordata, Actinopteri, Cypriniformes, Cyprinidae. The transcript is spliced from 3 exons. The record is from RefSeq and is a predicted model, not a curated record.
UGACGCCGUCCCUGAGGCCUCUGAAGCAAACUCCCACGAGAACCAUCUCCCUCUUUUCCUGGGGAGACUGCUGGCUGGGGAAGGCGCCUCAGGACUUUGGGAGGGAUCUGCCUGUCCUCCCAGUGUUGUGACGGCCAGGAGACGACCCUCUGGGAUCAUUGGCAGCUGGGUAGGUGGGGGGGACCUCUGCGGCUCCUCCUGGGAGAGACUCUCCCACAGCCGGGCAUAACUGCGGAGGAUCCACUCACCCUCGGGCGAGUAUGGGAAGGUGACCCCCUUCCUGUCGGUGGGGGAUGAAGUCCAGCAUUGCUGGCGGAACUCCAAUUUGGAAUGUAGAUUGGAGGACAUCCUGUAUGCUGAGUUCUGGUGCGGUUGGUUCAUUCUGUCAGGGUUUGGCAAGGAGGAACUCAAGUGCAGACAGGGAUCACAACACACAGGGUUUAUUAGAUACAAAAAAGGGGGAAAACAAAACCCACAAGGGGGAAAACACUGACUAGGGUAAAUACAAAAUAACUAAACAGGACUAUGUUGACACGAUAAACAAAGACUCAAAACACUAGAACACUAACUACAAAUAAACACUUACGGAUAUACAAAGACUUCUCAAAGGGGUGACAAGGAUACACUCUCUCACGAGGCUGACAAGUAGAAACACAUAAGGAAACAAUCUCAAGAAGGAACAAUCUCAGUGUGGAACAAUGAACCGACAAAAGACAGAGCACACUAGGGGAUCUAAAUAGGAGAACUAAUUUAGACACAACAGGUGGCACAGAUAUGGCAAUCACGAUAACACUAGGAUAACAAGGGGGGCAGGGCAAGGGAACGAGACAACACAAGCACAUGGCCCAAAGACAAGGCCAUGUGCUUGUACACAAAACACCGGUCUGUCAUGAUCCUGCCUCAAGAAUAGAGAAAAGUCAGGACAUGAAGGCAGAAUCAUGACAAAUAUAAUGACAUUUUUUAUUUAUUUGUUGAUCUUGGUAAUGGUUGGCCAAAAAAAAAAUCUCUACACAUAGCUUUCUGGAAAUGGUGACACUCUUCCAAUGAGAUUUAAGGUCCGAUAUUUCCACUCGUAAUAAAAAAAUAUGACUUCACGUUAUGUCAAUCACACUUACACACUGCCUCCGAAAUUUUCUUCCGUAAUAAUAAAAUUAGGAUGGGGUUAAAUUUUCCACAUUUUACGGAUCCGUUUGAAUGGUGUUUUUACAAUUCAGAGCCACGGAUGAUGGAUACGAAAAAAACAGUGUGCAAGGAGCUUAAUCUGAACAUUAAUAUGUUUAAGAUGGGAUCUGAAUAUAUGUUCAUUAAAUGAAUUGAAUGUUUCCCUUUUAAAUUAAAUAUUUUCAGCUGAGAUCCUGACAUUAUUGAGUUAAUUAAAUUGUCAAAAUGCAUAGAUGUACAUAAAAUAUUUGAUUUAUCAUUUAAUUAAAGUCCAUUUGUUUAUAAUAAUAAUAAUAAUAAUAAUAAUAAUAAAAAUUGAUAAUGUUAUAUAAGGUAAUAAACAGAAAGUGGGGCUCAUGGUUUCACAGGAUUUUGUGGAAACAAUUGCAUGGAAACUGCACUGCCUAAAUAUAUGAAUUGGUUUCAUAUGUAACAUUGCUUUAAACAUUGUUAAAGUAAAAAACAUCAGACAGACAGAACAACACACAGAUAGAGAGAGAGUGAGAAGAGGGUCAAAAUGGCCCUUCCAUCAGUCAUUAUUUAACUUAAAAGCUUAUUAAGGUAUAACUCACCCUUUUAUAUUUGUUUAUACACUGUUUUUCUACCUACUUUUGUAUGGUCUACUCUAUACAACGUUGAUGUUGAAAAUUUUGGCUACACACAUUUUGUAACUCUCUACUUUUUCUUCUUUUUGUUAGGUAUGAUAUACGGGAAGGUCAGAUUGUGGCUCUUCAAGAGCUGGGUUUCAGCUGGACAUCAAUUGCUGCUUUAUUUGGAGCACAAGGACCCUUUAUUUUCUUUUAAUCUCAGACAAAGAUUUGGUCUACUUUCAAGACAUCCAUUAAGUAGUUUAAGUAAUGAAGAAUUUGAUUCACUAAUACUACAGGUGUUGUCCUAAUGUAGGACAGACUUACAUUCAAGGAAGCCUUCAGAGUAGAGGUUUAAGAAUCCAAAGAAGAAGAAUACGAGAGAGGCUCAGAAUUAUUGAUCCAAUUGGAAGAGCAAUAAGUCGCAGACAAACAAUUCGUCAGUGGAUUUACAACAUUUCUUCACCAAACCAGCUAUGGCACAUUGACGGUAAUCAUAUAUUGGCCAGUUGGAAAUUCUAUUGCCAUGGAUGUGUGGAUGGAUUCAGUCGGUGCAUUGUACACUAAAAAUGUCACACCAACAACAAAGCUGAUACCGUCUUCAGACUGUUUCAGGAGGGGGUGAACAACUUCGGCCUUCCUUAUCGUGUCCGCUCUGAUGCUGGACGUGAAAAUACAGAGGUUGCAAGGUUCAUGAUCCAGCAAAAAGGCCCUGGAAGGGGAAGUUUUAUUGUGGGUCGGAGUGUUCACAACCAACGCAUCGAGAGACUUUGGGCUGAACUGAACAGAGUUCUGACUUAUCACUACAAAGAUCUUUUUCAGUUUUUGGAGCAACAUUCACUGCUUGAUUCCACUUCUGCUGUAGAUAUCCAUGCUUUGCAUUACGUAUAUCUACCAAAAAUAAACAAAGCAGUGAAUGAGUUUGUCAAUCAGUGGAAUCACCAUGCACUCAGAACAUAUCGAAACUGGACACCACUUCAGCUGUGGACAUCUGGUGUACUGCAGCACACUGGAUGUUCAUGCUACAACCUACUGGAUGACUGCGAGGACAUCUUCGAAGAGACUUUUUCAAAUUCCAGUCCAGCUGAUCACAGAUGUGACAGUACACUAACACUGACAGAUGACCAAGAAGCAUUCUUAAGAGAGAGGGUUGAUCCGAUGGAAGAUGAUGGCAACUAUGGUAUUGAGCAGUACAUCUUGGUUAAAUCACACUUGCAAAUGCUGUUAAUUUGAGUGUACCGAAACGGUAACACUUUUUAUAAUAACGUUCAGUUGUAAGUCAUUUAUAAGUGGUUAGUUAAUGAUGAACUAAUCAUUUACAAAACAUUCAUAAAUGAUUUGCAAGUGAUAUAUUAACAUUUUAUGUAGGCUACGUGUUUUGUAAACUGUGUUACAAGUCAUUUACAAGUGAAUAGUUAAUGAUUUACUAAUUAUUUACAAAACAUGACUAUGCAUUUCAUGUUUAAUACUUUUUUUGUUGUUGUUGUUGUAUGUUUUGCUCACAUCAGGUGCACAGUGGUUAAAGACUCCAUGUGUUUCAGAGAAGCUGUCUAUACCCUCCCCAGUCAGCACUUACACUGCAGUACACACUACACUACACUACACCCUACACUACACUCUACACUACAGAAGAUAACUGUCUAUACCCUCACCAGUCAGCACUUACACUGCAGUGCACACUACACUACGCUACACACUACACUCUCUACACUACAGAAGAUAACUGUCUAUACCUUCACCAGUCAGCACUUACACUGCAGUGCACACUACACUACAGUGUUCAACACCUGUAGAUGAUGUGUAAACUAUUCAUCACUUGUAAAUGUGUUACACAUCAUUUGUUGAUCUUAUACCUUAUUGAUUCUUGAAGUGGUAAUCUACGAAUGACGUGUAACACAUUUACAAGUGAUGAAUAGUGUACACUUUAGAUUAGGGGAUGCAGAAAGUGUUGUAAUUAAUUUAUUUUCAUGCGUUUACACAUCAUUGUGUUGAACACUGUUACUUACCUGCUACAAAUGAUCUGUAUGUAUACAAGGCAUUUAUAACACUUUCUGCACCCUCUAAUUGCUACAAAACGUUACAUACAAAAAAAAUAACAUAACACUUAUUAAUCAUUUAUGAAAGCAUAGUCAAUGUUUCGUAAAUUAUGUUAGUCUUACUAUUCACUUGUAAAUGACUUGUAACAGAAUUUACAAAACAUACAUAAAAUGUUAGUAUAUCACUUGUUAAUCAUGGCUACCCACAAAAUAAAUAAAUCAUUUGAAACAAAAUAUUGAUUUAAAAACAAUUUUAUUUCUUAAGCAAGAAAAUGGUCCGUUUUGCGUCCAUAGCAACGCUCUGUUGUUCAUGGCAAUGGUGUGUUUAACUUCGCAGUGGUCUGAUAUCAAGAAAUAACACACCACAUUCUACAUUAGAAUUCAACCAAGCUAUGCAGCUAAUAAUCACUUAUAAAUGACUUACAACUGAACGUUAUUAUAAAGUGUUACCAAAGAGGAUGCUUCAGGUUUAGUGAUUAGGUGUUUUCAGCUGUGUAAUCAGUUGUGAAUUAUGAGUAACGAUAAAAAAAGUCUAUCGGCUAACAUACCCAAAACAACAGGAUUCAAAUACUGCUUAACAUUUGUUUUAAUGAAAAACAAUGUUUCUAUUGACAAUCCAAACAUUUUCAACAGGUUUUGUUCAAAGGUUAAAAUCUGUGAUAUUAACAUGAUCAAUGAAAACACUGGAAAAUAUGGGUCAUACAGACUGUAGUUGGUAAGCGACAAAUAAAACUUUUACUUCAA